This 497-nucleotide ribosomal RNA is filed under the name uncultured bacterium. RNAcentral describes it as "partial 16S ribosomal RNA". It matches the Rfam family "Bacterial small subunit ribosomal RNA", at positions 28 to 507 of the family's 1533-position model. The record is from RNAcentral.
GAUGAACGCUGGCGGCGUGCCUAAUACAUGCAAGUCGAGCGAACAGACGAUGCGCUUGCUCCUCUCACGUUAGCGGCGGAGGGGUGAGUAACAUGUGGAUAACCUACCUAUAAGACUGAGAUAACUUCGGGAAACCGGAGCUAAUACCGGAUAAUAUAUUGAACCGCGUGGUUCAAUAGUGAAAGUCGGCUUUGCUGGAACGUAUCGAUGGAUACGGGCCGUAUGAGCUAGUUGGGAAGGUAACGGCCUAUCAAGGCAACGAGGCGUUGCCGACCUGUGAGGGUGGUCGGCCACCUGAGAGCGUGAACGGCGACCAGACGACUGCGAUACGGAGCAGUAGGGAAUCUUACGCAGUGGUCGAAAGCCUUACGGAGCAAGGCCACGUCAGUGAUGACAAUGUUCGGAGCGUAAAACUCGCUUACUAGUUAAGAACCAAUGUGUAAGUAACUAUGCACGUCUUGACGGUACCGAGUCAGAAAGCCCCGGCUAACUACGUG